Molecule: ribosomal RNA, 497 nt
Filed under: uncultured bacterium
Lineage: Bacteria
Description: partial 16S ribosomal RNA
Rfam family: Bacterial small subunit ribosomal RNA
Source: RNAcentral
GAUGAACGCUGGCGGCGUGCCUAAUACAUGCAAGUCGAGCGAACGGACGAGAAGCUUGCUUCUCUGAUGUUAGCGGCGGACGGGUGAGUAACACGUGGAUAACCUACCUAUAAGACUGGGAUAACUUCGGGAAACCGGAGCUAAUACCGGAUAAUAUUUUGACCCGCAUGGUUCAAAAGUUAAAGACGGUCUUGCUGUCACUUAUAGAUGGAUCCGCGCUGCAUUAGCUAGUUGGUAAGGUAACGGCUUACCGAGGCAACGAUGCAUAGCCGACCUGAGAGGGUGAUCGGCCACACUGGAACUGAGACACGGUCCAGACUCCUACGGGAGGCAGCAGUAGGGAAUCUUCCGCAAUGGACGAAAGCCUGACGGAGCAACGCCGCGGGAGUGAUGAAGGUCUUCGGAUCGUAAAACUCUGUUAUUAGGGAAGAACAUAUGUGUAAGUAACUGUGCACAUCUUGACGGUACCUAAUCAGAAAGCCACGGCUAACUCCGUG